AGAGUUUGAUCCUGGCUCAGGACGAACGCUGGCGGCGUGCCUAAUACAUGCAAGUCGAGCGGAUCAUCUUGCGUAGCUUGCUACAAUAGAUGAUUAGCGGCGGACGGGUGAGUAACACGUAGGCAACCUGCCCAUAAGACUGGGAUAACAUUCGGAAACGGAUGCUAAGACCGGAUACGCAAGUCUGUCGCAUGACGGGC
This 200-nucleotide ribosomal RNA is filed under the name uncultured bacterium. RNAcentral's name for it is "partial 16S ribosomal RNA". It matches the Rfam family "Bacterial small subunit ribosomal RNA", at positions 8 to 198 of the family's 1533-position model. The record is from RNAcentral.